Molecule: small RNA, 384 nt
Filed under: Kluyvera ascorbata
Lineage: Bacteria; Pseudomonadati; Pseudomonadota; Gammaproteobacteria; Enterobacterales; Enterobacteriaceae
Description: Enterobacterial sRNA STnc550
Rfam family: Enterobacterial sRNA STnc550
Source: RNAcentral
CAUCUCACUCCAGACCCUGGCCUGCCCCUGAAAAAAUCGAAAGGAAAACGUUUGCCUUCACACACCCUGACGCAAUUUUGUGAAUUGCGAUUCGCCGGGAAAACGAUACAGGACGACAGGAGGGGGUCAAUGGCCGGUACGCUUAUAAAUAAGCGUCGAAUUUUGACGUAUCCCGACGCAAAGUGGAAGAGCAAAAAACAACAUCCUGCUAAAUCUGUGAAGAUUUUUACGAUUAUCUGUGCAAAAAUGAGUAAGCUCAGUUUCACUGUGGCAAUAAAAAGGAGAAAAAUUGAUGAGUACCGAACUUAAGCUGUCGCUCACCACUACCAUUAUUACGCUUGCGCUCAUUGUUGCCGCUGCACUGACCGCCGUAUUGCAUUAAUU